GCGGGUGAAAAGCCCGCUCGCCGGAAGACCAAGGGUUCCUGUCCAACGUUAAUCGGGGCAGGGUGAGUCGACCCCUAAGGCGAGGCCGAAAGGCGUAGUCGAUGGGAAACAGGUUAAUAUUCCUGUACUUGGUGUUACUGCGAAGGGGGGACGGAGAAGGCUAUGUUAGCCGGGCGACGGUUGUCCCGGUUUAAGCAUGUAGGCUGAUUGUCCAGGCAAAUCCGGAUAAUCAAGGCUGAGGUGUGAUGACGAGGCACUACGGUGCUGAAGUAACAAAUGCCCUGCUUCCAGGAAAAGCCUCUAAGCAUCAGGUAACAUUAAAUCGUACCCCAAACCGACACAGGUGGUCAGGUAGAGAAUACCAAGGCGCUUGAGAGAACUCGGGUGAAGGAACUAGGCAAAAUGGUGCCGUAACUUCGGGAGNAAGGCACGCUGGUGUGUAGGUGAAGUCCCUGCGGAUGGAGCUGAGACCAGUCGAAGAUACCAGCUGGCUGCAACUGUUUAUUAAAAACACAGCACUGUGCAAACACGAAAGUGGACGUA
RNAcentral lists this ribosomal RNA (543 nucleotides) under Klebsiella pneumoniae. Its description in RNAcentral is "bacterial LSU rRNA". It matches the Rfam family "Bacterial large subunit ribosomal RNA", at positions 1317 to 1845 of the family's 2925-position model. Lineage: Bacteria; Pseudomonadati; Pseudomonadota; Gammaproteobacteria; Enterobacterales; Enterobacteriaceae. The record is from RNAcentral.